AACGAACGCUGGCGGCAUGCCUAACACAUGCAAGUCGAACGAGACCUUCGGGUCUAGUGGCGCACGGGUGCGUAACGCGUGGGAACCUGCCCUUAGGUUCGGAAUAACUCCCCGAAAGGGGUGCUAAUACCGGAUAAUGUCUUCGGACCAAAGAUUUAUCGCCUUUGGAUGGGCCCGCGUUGGAUUAGCUAGUUGGUAGGGUAAAAGCCUACCAAGGCGACGAUCCAUAGCUGGUCUGAGAGGAUGAUCAGCCACACUGGGACUGAGACACGGCCCAGACUCCUACGGGAGGCAGCAGUGGGGAAUAGUGGACAAUGGGCGAAAGGCUGAUCCAGCAAUGCCGCGUGAGUGAUGAAGGCCUUAGGGUUGUAAAGCUCUUUUACCCGGGAUGAUAAUGACAGUACCGGGAGAAUAAGCGCCGGCUAACUCCGUG
This 433-nucleotide ribosomal RNA is filed under the name uncultured bacterium. RNAcentral's name for it is "partial 16S ribosomal RNA". It matches the Rfam family "Bacterial small subunit ribosomal RNA", at positions 29 to 507 of the family's 1533-position model. The record is from RNAcentral.